AGUAUUCACACUCUACAGGAAGAAACAAAGAAAGAGGAAGGAUACUAUGCUAGGUUAAGACCUGUGGUCGGGAUGCUGGUGAUUGGAGAUAAAAAGAAAAUUAGCAAGAAUUUCUUUUUUGGACAGGGCUAAUUUAAGUCUUCUCCUUAGGAAGGAAAAUGGAUUUGGGAUACUCCUUACAUAAUAAUUAUUAUUUUCAUUCAUCUAGGACUUAACAUUUUAUACCCAUUGUCUUAUCUUCUCCAUGGAUUGCAAACCUUGUGCAAGACCAUGUAGCUAUUCUGCAGGAAAGCUGGGCCACAAACUGAAAUUUCCAGCACGCCAGAUUGAGUCAUUUGAAGACGAGAAAAAACACAGUGUUUCAUGAGGAAAUUCAGCUACUUCUUAAAAGAUCAGCAUCCAUGAUGUUCCUGGAUUUCACAAAGAGGGAGUUGUUUCUUGCACAGAGCAGUUCUGUGAGUCAGUGUGAAAAGAACUACCUGCC
This 484-nucleotide long non-coding RNA is filed under the name Homo sapiens (human). RNAcentral describes it as "non-protein coding lnc-CEP57-1:2". Lineage: Eukaryota; Metazoa; Chordata; Mammalia; Primates; Hominidae. The record is from RNAcentral.